Nannospalax galili (Upper Galilee mountains blind mole rat) is the source of this 2387-nucleotide long non-coding RNA. RefSeq lists it as uncharacterized. The transcript has 3 exons. NCBI's taxonomy places the organism in Eukaryota, Metazoa, Chordata, Mammalia, Rodentia, Spalacidae. The record is from RefSeq and is a predicted model, not a curated record.
UCCCACAUCCCAACCCCUCCUCCAAACGUCUGGACUGAGUGAUCAAAAUAGAGGAAGAUGGUUGUCGCCGCAAUCCCUGGGCUUCGCCAGGCGCGGUUUAAUGGGUCGCCUGUCAGUUUCCUGCGCGCUGGAGGAGGUGACAACCCCGGGAACACGGCAGGGCCCGGAGGCCGGCAGGCUGCACGGUGCGCCCUCGCCUUGUCCUCCCAGCUCUCCCGGGGUGCUCCUCCCGAAACCGUGGUGGAGACGCCGACAUAGACAAGACUUGCUUUUUUUUCCCUCUCCCCUCUUUUUUCUUUCUUUUAAAACAAAGCGUCGAUUCAUUCCCUCUUCCCCCCCACCCCCAGCAACCGCGGUCCGGUGGGAUGGGCAGACGACAAGGUCGUUUUUUGUUGUUUAUUUUUUUCCCUUUUGCCCCAGCCUGCGAGUCCCUCCCUGAAACGCGGUGUCAGAUGGUUUUUACUGAUUAAUAUUUUGGACAGGCCGCAGCGGCGGGCAGGAUCCGUGGCCAAAACAACGGGUGUUGACGCAGUGGCCAGAGGACAGGCCAACCUUGAGCGCGGAUGUCUCUCCUGCUGCGCGCCUUUGUCCGCUCCAGGGAAUCCGCCUCUCACAUUUCUGCCCCAUGCAAUAGUGAACCCUGAUCUUCCAGAAUCCCGACGUUGCAGGCCGUGUGUAAAGGUUCUCCCGUGCUCCUCCCCCACAUAGGGUGCAUUUUUUUUUAAAGCCUGUAUCCAUCCCUUAGAGUGGACAAGAGGACACCCAAGCCUCCCCAUCCGUUGCCCUGAACCAUGUUUCCCAAGAGGUGCAUAAGGACAAGGUGCCUCCGAACUCCACUAAAGUCUAAAUGAAGGGGAGACCCCAAGGGAUCGCUGGCUUCAGACUCCCGGUGGAGAAGCCACGGACUGAGUCUCUAAUGCGCAGGUUUCCGCAGGUCCUAAAUCCGGCUACCCGGGAGCUCCCGGGCGGAUGCAGCUAAAACCCGGAGAGGCCGCGCCCAGCCCACCCCUGCUCCCCGCGUCUCUCGCUGCAACUGGCCCAUCAGCGGUUCUGUAUCCAAGAGGUUCAGUCAGCCGGAAGAGAGCAGCCCGAACCCGCCAGCAAGACCAAGGAUGCCAGCGCCUCGAAUGCCACCAGGUCCCCAGCGCACGACGGGCAGCCCUGGGGUGGUGGCGCCUGGCUCAGUGGCUGCAGAUUCCAGCUCCUCUCAGCCCCGCCUCCGACUCUGGCCUCUUCCUCUGGCUCGGGUCGGGUCUUCCACUCCACUGUUUGGCUCGGAGAGGACAUAGAAGCGUUUGUUUCGCAUGGGACUGGCUGGGGUCAUAAAUCUCUCCUACCCACCGCUCGCUUGCGGGUGUUCCAGGCCGGCCUUGCAUCCCGGGCAGGGCGGGACACUCUGCCCAGGUCACACAGCCUGGGGACCCCGAGACCACGCAGGGGAUCAAGCCAAGAGCUUCCCUUUCUCCAAAGAAAGAAACAGCCUCACUCCGUACUACUACUAGCAGUGUCAGGCUACUCCGAUCAUUGUCUCGGGUAGGGAAGUCUGGGCCCGGGUUCUUCCCUUUAGAGAGGCUUGGUGAGACUGGGUUUGGUGUGUGGCCCCUCGACCAUGGAAGGGUAACCCCAGGAUCUGUUUCUGAGCCGACUUCUCCUCUCUGGGGACCCUGCAAUAAUUAAUUUCACGACCUUGGAGCCCUCCGCGGGCGCACAAGGAUCGAUUUGGCGAGCGGGGGCGUCCGACAACUAAUCUCGGAAUUACUCUUGGAAUGCCUUCCCCUUCUUGCCAAGGACACCCGAAGAUUUUUCCCUUGGUGAUCGCGACUGCCACCACCGUGGUACUCAUAACCGAACCAUCUAGAAAGAAGUCAUUGGUUGUCUGUCGGUAGCGGGGUUAGGACGAAGGUCUCCCUGAGAAGGGACUGCCUGAGUGGGUGCAUCUGCAAAUAACGUUUAAUGCCACAGGAAUUCAAUCCUGGGGACCAGCACCAGUAAAGGGGCUUGGCAGAGGACUCAAGGUGAGGAAAAGCAUUCACCCCCUCCUGGGUGUCUGCCCGUGCCAGAUCCAGGGGCGCAGGGGCUUGGAAAUCUCGUUCUCACCCAAGGAGGUUUUGGGGCUCCUUAUAAGAUUUCCGAUAACACAUUCAGAAGGACCUAGGGCGCAGAGAAAUUAGAGCACAGAUCGAGGUUGCAGGGAAUGCGCUACAGGCUGCCGAUCCACAUUCCGGGCCAAGCCUCGGAAAAACAAAGCUUUGCCAGUUCCCGUCCCAAGGUUAAACUCCACCGCAAGCAUUUUUCUUUUUCUCCUCCCCCCCCUUUUUUUUUCUAACCCUUUCCUCUCCAGAAUCCGAACGAUAGCAUUAUUCCAAAUAAACUACCAAUAAAUCAGC